RNAcentral lists this unclassified non-coding RNA (309 nucleotides) under plant metagenome. RNAcentral describes it as "partial contains 5.8S ribosomal RNA, internal transcribed spacer 2, and large subunit ribosomal RNA". The stretch from base 1 to 105 matches the Rfam family "5.8S ribosomal RNA", at positions 50 to 154 of the family's 154-position model. The record is from RNAcentral.
GAAAUGCGAUAAGUAAUGUGAAUUGCAGAAUUCAGUGAAUCAUCGAAUCUUUGAACGCACAUUGCGCCCGCCAGUAUUCUGGCGGGCAUGCCUGUUCGAGCGUCAUUUCAACCAUCAAGCCCCCGGGCUUGUGUUGGGGACCUGCGGCUGCCGCAGGCCCCGAAAACCAGUGGCGGGCUCGCUGUCACACCGGGCGUAGUAGAUUUUUCGUCUCGCCCAGGGCGUGCUGCGGGUUCCGGCCGUUAAAAAGCCUCUCUUUUAACCCAAGGCUGACCUCGGAUCAGGUAGGAAGACCCGCUGAACUUAAGC